Molecule: long non-coding RNA, 1032 nt
Organism: Nannospalax galili (Upper Galilee mountains blind mole rat)
Lineage: Eukaryota; Metazoa; Chordata; Mammalia; Rodentia; Spalacidae
Exons: 5
Source: RefSeq, a predicted model, not a curated record
AACCAGACCCAUGAAGAUCUUGAAAUAGCAUCUUUGUAGCCUCCUGGUUCAGACUUGAUUCAUGGUAUCGCAAUCAGCAUCUUGCCUCUUUUGGAGUUCAGCAGCCUCCUUGUUUUGCUCAGUUUGCAACCAGACAGUGGUCUGUGACGGAGACACGAGUACCGAUGGAGGUGUGGGAGCAUCACAGAGGAAGUUGUAGUGAAGGAAGACUUGCUUCGCCUUGCUUCGCUUUGACAUCUCUCCUUGCUCCCUGGAUAAGCUAAGAGGUCCUGAGCAGAAACCCAAACGAUACCACAUCUUCACACGGGAACCCAGAGUGCUGGUGAUAUUAGCAGUGUGCACAGUGAAGGAAGACAAUGGUGGAUCAGUAGCAGACGGAUUAGUGGAGCUCUCAGUCCUUGUGUAGUAAAUGGUGAUUAAUGAAGAAACUCACAACUGAUAGAAGUCCUCAGCUACAAAUGAAGCAUCCAUACCACCCACUCCCAAGGCUCAGUGAUCAUCACGGAACUGGGGGAAAGAGUUUAAGGUCCAGAGGUCAGGGAGGACUAGAGCAAAACUGUCACCUGGACAUGGCAAAAUGUCUGCACUCAGGAAUUCACAGUCACUGUGGUUGCCUGUACAAGACCUGCUGCACAAGGUCAAUCUACUCAAUAUUCUAGCACCAAGAGGAGAGGAGAUAAUGAACCCACCCCCAGAUGAGGAGCUCUUUACUGUUGAUGGACUCUGGGAGAGGGAGAGUAAGUUUUCUUCAAGGCUGUGAACCCUGGUGUUCUUCUACGGUGCCUGGGCUGGCCUCAAACUUGGAAUUCUCCCACGUCAUCCUCCAGGGUCUGCUUCCUCAUCCAGGGUGAUGCAUUGAAUUGUGACACAUGGGGGUCAAUGAAAUUAACCAUCUUUCCAGUGAGAAAUAAUUCAUCAGGCAGCAUUUGCUCUUGUGCUUUCCUCUGUUGUGAGUGAAUGAAGUCUUGGGAAGGCCUGGAACAAACAGGCCUUACGUAAGUGUCAUGUAGUACUCACUCAAUGGAAAGUAUU